UACGUAGGUGGCAAGCGUUAUCCGGAUUUACUGGGUGUAAAGGGCGUGUAGGCGGGACUGCAAGUCAGAUGUGAAAACCACGGGCUCAACCUGUGGCCUGCAUUUGAAACUGUAGUUCUUGAGUACCGGAGAGGCAGACGGAAUUCCUAGUGUAGCGGUGAAAUGCGUAGAUAUUAGGAGGAACACCAGUGGCGAAGGCGGUCUGCUGGACAGCAACUGACGCUGAGGCGCGAAAGCGUGGGGAGCAAACAGG
Molecule: ribosomal RNA, 253 nt
Filed under: uncultured bacterium
Lineage: Bacteria
Description: partial 16S ribosomal RNA
Rfam family: Bacterial small subunit ribosomal RNA
Source: RNAcentral